CGCCCAAAAUCCUUUUUGGAAAAAAGUGCAGACCACAGAUCCUACAGUGGCUUGUGUCCUUUUCCCAGGCACAUCCUCAAUCUUGGCAAAAUAAAUCUCAACGCUGACUGAGACUGCCUCCGUCAUUCUCUGGUUUCAUGGUACUCUCCUAGGUGUCGUCCUGGGACAUGCUCCCAACCCUGUGAGGGAGGCAGCCAGACCCCCAGUACAGACUUCACCUGGCACCAAAAGAGAGCUGACAUGGCCCUCUCAAGGCCACACAGCUACCUGAACAUCAAUCCGCGUCCUGACUCCUGGUCUGAGUGGUGACAGUGAUGCACUAGGACAAAUGUUUUACUUUUUAUUUGGGAUUGGAUCAUAAAGGCAGCAAAACAUUUGAUGACUCAUGUCCACAAGACACUCAGUGAAAACUGUUGAAAUGAAGGGAAAAAAAAAUGAGGGCAAGUAUCCUGAAGCCUAUGAGUGGAAUUCAGAAUGAAUGUCAUCACCAGUGAUAGAUGAAUAUCAUUUUGUAAGAGGUCUAAAUGACAUAGCAAGCAGUUUUGCUAACUCUGAGGAUCACAGAGGUGAGCAGCCCAUUUCGUUUCUGGGAGGCUUGUCCAGGGAUGAAUGAGGCAAGCCCGCAGGUCCCCACCUUGGGUGCCUCUCUUUUCUCCAAGGUUCACUCUGCUUCUCCUGAAGCCGCAGGGAUGACGCUCAUGCGGAAUACUUGCUAAAGGCAGCCUGAGACUCCGGACAGAGCAGAAGCAGAAGCAGAAGCAGGAGUCAGCUCAAGCUCCCUCAGGGCCUCCUGCUGUCCUGACCCAAGGGCUGGGAGGGCCUUUCCUGAGGUUGGGGAGGGGAGCAGUUCUUUCUUUUUGUUUUUUUGUUUGUUUUGUUUGUUGAGACAGGGUCUCGCUCUGUCACCCAGGCUGGAGUGCAGUGGAACAAUAAUGGCUCACUGCAGCCUCGACCUCCUGGGUUCCAGCCAUCCUCCUGCCUGAGCCUCCCAAGCAGCUAGGACUACAGGCACGCACCACCACACCUGGCUAAUUAAAAACUUUUAUUAUAGAGACAGGGUCUCAUUCUGUGGCUUAGGCUGGAAAUGCAGUGGUGCAAUCAUAGCUCACUGUAACCUCAAACUCCUGGGCUCAAAGGAUCCUCCCACUUCAACCUUCCAAGUAGCUGUGCACCACAUCCAUCUAGUUUUGGGUUUUUUUUUGUAGAGAUGGGGUCUUGCUAUGCUGCCCAGGCUGAUCUGGAAUGCCUGGCCUCAAUCCUGCCUCAGCCUCUCAACGUGCUGCGAGAGUUAUUUUGUUGAAGAAAACUUCCAGAUAUUAUUUGACUAAUAAGCACUACAUCUCAAAAUCCAUGAGAAUGUAAGAAAUUUCUUGCACAUCUGUAUAAAUACUCAGAUCUGUUUUGAGUAGAUUCUGAGAAAAUUAAGAUGGGCUAACGAAGGCCUAAAGGAAUAAUCAGCAAUUUGGAGAAACAUGAGCAUAUUUUAAACUCAUUUAAAAAAUCCAAACUAUUUAUUGAAAAGCUCUACUAAACAAAAUUAGUUCAGACAAAGCAAUAAGAUGACGAAUCAAGCUCUCUCCAGAGAUGAAAGAAAAGCCAGUCUCAAAGAUGACUAUAACUAACGCUGUUGCUGGAAAGACAAGGGCACCGAGCCAGCCCUGGGAGAGGCUCCACUUCUUCAAAGACAAAACGAUUCCAAACGUGGCAGGACACAGUGCUCACCCUACAGUGAACCUCUGGGAAUAUGUUAUUUUUUAAAUUCAGUUAAUCUUUCUUCUUUUUUUUUUUGAGACAGAGUCUCCUGUCGCCCAGGCUGGAGUGCAGGGGUGCGAUCUCAGCUCACUGCAACCUCCACCUCCCGGGUUCAAAUGAUUCUCGGGCCUCAGCCUCACAAGUAGCUGGAAUUACAGGCAUGCGCCACCAUACCCAGCUAAUUUUUGUAUUUUUAGUAGAGAUAGGGUUUCAUUAUGUUGUCCAGGCUGGGAGACAGAGCAAGACCCCAACUCAAACAAAAACAAAAAAGCUGAUCACAGAAACAACAGCUUUCAGAGAUUAGUUUCCUUCUGUCUGUCCCAUGUCUUGGCUUCUGAACACUCACAUGAUAUUACUGGGGUCGCCUUCAGGGUAUUCAUCAGAGGCAGCAGCUGGCACACACUGGACUUUGGGUUUCAUUCGCAUGGACUUUGGGUUUCAUUCGCAUGGACUUUGGGUUUCAUUCGCAAAGCUUCCUGAGAGCAUAGAUCCACAGCAGUGGAUGAGAGCCACAGAGUUGUUUGGGAAUCAGGCGACAUGCUUAUAGAGGAAACAGAUACACACAGGGCCAUUAUUUUGAUUUAUUGCAUUCUGAAGUACUCCGGGGGGAGGGCCUGAGAACGAUCCGCUUUAUCAGCAGU
This 2393-nucleotide long non-coding RNA is filed under the name Homo sapiens (human). Its description in RNAcentral is "HSALNT0248178". The record is from RNAcentral. Lineage: Eukaryota; Metazoa; Chordata; Mammalia; Primates; Hominidae.